This 254-nucleotide ribosomal RNA is filed under the name uncultured bacterium. Its description in RNAcentral is "partial 16S ribosomal RNA". It matches the Rfam family "Bacterial small subunit ribosomal RNA", at positions 524 to 776 of the family's 1533-position model. The record is from RNAcentral.
UACGGGGGGAGCAAGCGUUGUUCGGAUUUACUGGGCGUAAAGGGCGCGUAGGCGGCCACCGCAAGUCGGUUGUGAAAUCUCUGGGCUUAACCCAGAAAGGUCAACCGAUACUGCGGGGCUAGAGUGCAGAAGGGGCAACUGGAAUUCUCGGUGUAGCGGUGAAAUGCGUAGAUAUCGAGAGGAACACCUGCGGCGAAGGCGGGUUGCUGGGCCGACACUGACGCUGAUGCGCGAAAGCCAGGGGAGCGAACGGG